CCUACGGGAGGCAGCAGUGGGGAAUAUUGCACAAUGGGGGAAACCCUGAUGCAGCGACGCCGCGUGAAGGAAUAAGUCUUUCUGUAUUUACACUUCUUUCAGCAGGGAAGAAAAUGACGGUACCUGACUACUAAUCCCCGGCUAACUACGGGCCCGCCGCCGCGGUCAUACGUAGGGGGCAAGCUUUAUCCGGAUUUACUGGGUGUAAAGGGAGCUUAGGCGGUGCAGCAAUUCAGAAGUGAAAGCCAGGGGCUCCACUCCGGGACUGUUUUUGAAACUGUUGAACUAGAGUGCAGGAGAGGUAAGGGGAAGUCGUAGUGUAGCGGUGAAAUGCGUAGAUAUUAGGAGGAACACCAGUGGCGAAGGCGGCAUACUGGACUGUAAAUGACGCUGAGGCUCGAAAGCGUGGGGAGCAAACAGGAUUAGAUACCCCUGUAGUC
Molecule: ribosomal RNA, 440 nt
Filed under: uncultured bacterium
Lineage: Bacteria
Description: partial 16S ribosomal RNA
Rfam family: Bacterial small subunit ribosomal RNA
Source: RNAcentral